UACGAAGGGGGCUAGCGUUGCUCGGAAUCACUGGGCGUAAAGCGCACGUAGGCGGCUUUCUAAGUCAGGGGUGAAAUCCUGGAGCUCAACUCCAGAACUGCCUUUGAUACUGGGAAGCUCGGGUCCGGAAGAGGUGAGUGGAACUGCGAGUGUAGAGGUGAAAUUCGUAGAUAUUCGCAAGAACACCAGUGGCGAAGGCGGCUCACUGGUCCGGUACUGACGCUGAGGUGCGAAAGCGUGGGGAUCAAACAGG
RNAcentral lists this ribosomal RNA (253 nucleotides) under uncultured bacterium. Its description in RNAcentral is "partial 16S ribosomal RNA". It matches the Rfam family "Bacterial small subunit ribosomal RNA", at positions 524 to 776 of the family's 1533-position model. The record is from RNAcentral.